CCUACGGGGUGCAGCAGUAGGGAAUAUUGCUCAAUGGGGGAAACCCUGAAGCAGCAACGCCGCGUGGAGGAUGAAGGUUUUCGGAUUGUAAACUCCUUUUGUUAGAGAAGAUAAUGACGGUAUCUAAAGAAUAAGCACCGGCUAACUCCGUGCCAGCAGCCGCGGUAAUACGGAGGGUGCAAGCGUUACUCGGAUUCACUGGGCGUAAAGAGCGCGUAGGCGGGAUAGAAAGUCAGAUGUGAAAUCCUAUGGCUUAACCAUAGAACUGCAUUUGAAACUGUUAUUCUAGAGUAUGGGAGAGGUAGGUGGAAUUCGUGGUGUAGCGGUAAAAUCCGUAGAGAUCAAGAGGAAUACGCAUUGCGAAGGCGACCUGCUAGAACGUAACUGACGCUGAUGCGCGAAAGCGUGGGUAUCAAACAGGAUUAGAUACCCGUGUAGUA
RNAcentral lists this ribosomal RNA (440 nucleotides) under uncultured bacterium. RNAcentral describes it as "partial 16S ribosomal RNA". It matches the Rfam family "Bacterial small subunit ribosomal RNA", at positions 338 to 795 of the family's 1533-position model. The record is from RNAcentral.